Rhododendron vialii is the source of this 3931-nucleotide long non-coding RNA. RefSeq lists it as uncharacterized. The record is from RefSeq and is a predicted model, not a curated record. NCBI's taxonomy places the organism in Eukaryota, Viridiplantae, Streptophyta, Magnoliopsida, Ericales, Ericaceae. The transcript is spliced from 2 exons.
CUUUUUAUGUUUCCCCCAAAACAAGCCCUAACGAUCUUCCAUUGCUAAGAAUCUGCGCCUCUCUCUCCUCGGAGAUGAAUCGAUUUCACUCCGUCCCUCUUCAUCAUACGUCCCCACGGGUUCUCAUCCUCCCGUUAGCCAUCGUAAUCACUUAUCACCACACAUACCCAUUCCCUGGUGUUGGAAUCGAUUGCAGCUCUCCACGACUCGUUAAUCUUUACCCCAUUCCCACAAACGAAGAAAGACUCCUUCCUCUCUUUCAACGUUGGGUGAAAACCUCUCUCUCUUUACAAUCCCCACCUGUUCUCUCUUUACGUCGGGUGAAAACUCUCUCUCUGGCCAAGUUCGAGUCGCCCCAUGGCCACGCCGCAGCCCUGGUCGGGGCGAUCCACCUCUCUUCGCGAGUCCGGCGACUAACAUUCAACUCACUGAGUUGGAGAAGCUCGAAGGCACUCGUAGCUGGGAGACCCUCGAAUGGACCAAGAUCGAGCUGGCUCCGAGGUCUGUUUCUGAAGGGUUGCUAGGGGUUUUGCUUGAAGCGGAAAAGGUCAUAGUAGAGGUAUGUAUUUAUACACGUACUCUUCAAGAAUGCUAUCAUUAUUCGAUUAUUGUGUGUAAUUGGUAAGAAUCCUGGUUCACUUUCAGGUAAAUCGUGAAUGAUCUUAGUGCAUACUGAAGAUUAUAAACAGUAGUGGACGAAUCUUGAAGUUCCAAUAUGUUUCUUUCGUGUGGAGAAUAAUUGUCGACGUCUAGACCAAUUCAGACCUUGAGCUGCUUGUGAGCAGCUUACCUAGAUCUGCCUAGCAAGAAUAUUCUAGGCCUUGGAGCUGCUUGUAAGCAGCUAAAGACCUUUGAGCUGCUCACAAGCAGCUUAUCUAGACCUGCCCAGCAAGAACAUUCUAGGCCUUUGAGCUGCUUGUGAGCAGUUUGUCCAGACCUGCCUAGCAAGAACAUUCUAGACCUUUGAGCUGCUUGUGAGCAGCUUAAGGCCCCUUUCUUGCUCAUAAAAGGCUUUAAAUGAUGUUCUUAAAGCAGCGGGCCUAUUUCAUCAAUUAGGCCUGAACUUGUGGUAAAUCAUGGGCCUUUGUCCAUUGUAAGCCUUUUGAGCCCAAGCCUGAUGAGAAAACCAAGGCUCCUGCCGAUUUGGGCUUACUUCGCAGGCCUUGUUACUAGGAAUUUGGGUUAGGCCUGGACGAAAUACUCAAGCCUAGUGGACUAAUUCAAGCUUUGGGCCUUUAACUGAUUUGGGCCUUUAUGGAAGGCCCAACAUUUCUUAAGAACCGGCCCUAAUUUGUAGGCAAUUGGUCGUAAGGUCUUUUAAGGUUAGAGCCUCGACCCUCAAGGCCACCUUUUAGCCCGUAAAUUCAUUUUCUGGUUUUUGGGCCAAAAAUGGGUGUAAACACUAGUAUAAAAUUUAGCAUUUAUACUACUAAGAAUAUCACCGUCACAUCAUUAUAGUAUACAGAAAUAGGUGUUAUUUAUUGUUCGUAACUCAUUUACCAAGAAAAAUGUUCAACAACAAGAAGCUUUGUGGAUUUCCAUAUGUAGAAUUAGGCCCCGUUUCGCUAAGGUUCUUAUUUUUAAUAUAUACUUAUUUUCUACUUUACACAAUAGGUCAUUAUCUCAGAAUAUAUCACAUUUAAUUCAAAAAAAUAAGUAUUUAUUUCUCUCAGCAAGACGGGGCCUAACUAAAUAUGGAAAUACAUACUAAAAUGUAGUUAAUACUGACCACAAAAGAGUACGUUAUGAGGGGGUGGUUGCUCUUUGGUUGGGACAGGAUCAACAUCAUAUAUUCUUACAUGUAUAUCUCUUGGCCUAAAUACCAGUUUUCCAAAUGUUGUGAUCUCAAGUUCCACAUUUCUGGAUUCUCAAGAUACACAUAAACCAUAGUCCAACGACCUGGGUACACCUGAUCACAUUUAUAUAAACUAAUUUAACCUAGCUAGUGGUAAAAUACCCAUAACCAUGACCAAAUAAGAGUGUGUGUGUGGGUAAGAGAGAAGAUAUUACCUGAACAAUGGAGCCGACAACAGGGUCACAAAAAUUAUACGUGUAACGCAAUUUAGGCGCCCAUUUCCCAUCACCAAACCUAUAGUAAUUAAGUAUAUACAGAUCAACAUGAACACCACAUUGCAUUUGGAUCUUGAAUUUUUCUAGUACUAAUAGAAAGCGAAAUGAAUUUACUUUGCAAGACUUUUUUUAUGAGAAAGUAGAAUAAUUUAAGAAAAAUUCUUUAAAAAUUAAUAUGAAUUCUUUUCUCUUAUGUUCUUAAAGCGCGCAACCACCACAUAUGGUAAUGUCUUCUUAUUGAAUCUUGCUAUUGUCAGCCCAAUGGGCUGACGAUAAGUACACUAGAAAACAAUGAAAACACGUGAUUCUGUAUACUUUUUGUACCAUUUAAUACACAUUCACACAUUUUUUAUUGUCAGUCUAUUGGGCUGAUUUUAGAAUUUUCCUCUCAUGCUAUACAAAAGAAAAACACAUAAAAAAAGAUCGGGUAUUUUGACUACACUGUGCAUCCAAACAUUAUUGUUUCGAUGCCACUCCUUGAGGGACAACAUGUGUGUUGGUCCCAUCUGAGCCAUUCAUUUCAGCAAUGAAUGGCUCACAUUUUAUUUCAGCCGAACAGAUCUCAACCUUCCAUUCAUUCAUUGCUGAGAUGAAAUCUGAGCUAUUCGUUGCCAAACAUGAACAGCCCGGAUGGGCCAAUAUACACAUGUUGUUCGCUAACGGACAGCAGGCUACCCAUUUGGUUUUACAAGCACGUGAUUUGAUCCUGGUUUGUCAACAUUGUUGAAAUAUUCUUUUUAAGGCUUUUUCCAAAUAAAAAAAGUUAUUGUCCAGCUAGGCCAAGGUUAAAAAUGAAUGGAACUUACCCAACAGCAUAGAAACCGAAUCCAUCCAAAUGCCAAGAGUCCAUCACAUCCAAACCAUUCCUGAACACAAUCUCCAGCCACCCCCUGUGGAUCCCGGUGACAACAAAAGUCCCAUUGACGCCCACCGGAUUGCUAAAAUUCACAGGAAAUUCGUCGAUUUGGUACACGCCAGAUCCAUUGAGGGAGUAGUCGGCCAGCUUGAGUGGUGUUGCCGGAGUAAGAUAAGACACAUUGUUGACGGUGUAACGUAGAGCGCCGUUGAUUUGAACCGUUGAUCCUUAUAGAAUGAAGGUUUGUAAUACUUUCACGUUUGAUAUGUCAAAUGUUCCUUGUGGGUUGGGACUCGCAGCCCCUGCGAUCAAGGGGACUCUUACAAGCUGGCCCCGUUUGUCCCCCUUCACCUGUAUAGGCCCACCCCGUGUCAAAUCUAUCCCACAUAAGUCCCAUUUUAAGUGAACUUUCCCAAAUACCCCACUUUAUUACUCCUUCGAUUCCGUACGGUGACUCACCGAAGCGAUCGCCCCUUCAUCAUCGUCGAAUGGAUCAUCAAGACCUAAUUCAUCUGUUGGUUCCAAUCAACGUCUCACCCCUCUCGAUGUCUUCCGAGGUCUCACUGUUGCUGUACUCUCUCUCCACCUCCGAAUCGGCCAUGGACAAGAGUAAGUAGUAGCAGAGUUUCAAAUCUACCAAAGAAAAAGCAGGGAAUACGACGUGAGCAGAUGAAGAAGAUGACGACGACGAUGAAGAAUCGGACGAAGUUGACAAUGGCAGUGAUGACUGUGGCGGUGUGGGGUUCUAGAUCUAUCGUUCAAGGGUUCUUGUUUGUUACGGAGUACUUUUUUAGUUAUGUCCUUUUUUUGACCUCUGGUUGUCUGUGAGGGUUCGUGAUGUUUUUCGAUUCCGAUAUGUGAAAAAAGAAGAUUCAGUGAAUUGAUAUUCUAUACCAGUAACGGAGAAAGACUAGGUAGAACAAAGUGAGCAUUUUUUUACCUCUAGUUCUCUGGUAUAGCAACUCAGUGAAUCACCGAAAACAUCCUAGAAAAUUAUUUGUGGAA